RNAcentral lists this ribosomal RNA (406 nucleotides) under uncultured bacterium. RNAcentral describes it as "partial 16S ribosomal RNA". It matches the Rfam family "Bacterial small subunit ribosomal RNA", at positions 30 to 526 of the family's 1533-position model. The record is from RNAcentral.
AUUGAACGCUGGCGGCAGGCCUAACACAUGCAAGUCGAACGAGUGGCGGACGGGUGAGUAAUGUCUGGGAAACUGCCCGAUAGAGGGGGAUAACUACUGGAAACGGUAGAUAAUACCGCAUACCAUCGGAUGUGCCCAGAUGGGAUUAGCUAGUGGGUGGGGUAAUGGCUCACCUAGGCGACGAUCCCUAGCUGGUCUGAGAGGAUGACCAGCAACACUGGAAAUGAUACACGGUCCAGACUCCUACGGGAGGCAGCAGUGGGGAAUAUGGCACAAUGGGCGAAAGCCUGAUACAGCAAUGCCGAGUGUAUGAAGAAGGCCUUCGGGUUGUAAAGUACUUUUAGCGAGGAGGCGUUACUCGCAGAAGAAGCACCGGCUAACUCCGUGCCAGCAGCCGCGGUAAUUC